GAUGAACGCUGGCGGCGUGCCUAAUACAUGCAAGUCGAGCGAAUGGAUUAAGAGCUUGCUCUUAUGAAGUUAGCGGCGGACGGGUGAGUAACACGUGGGUAACCUGCCCAUAAGACUGGGAUAACUCCGGGAAACCGGGGCUAAUACCGGAUAACAUUUUGAACCGCAUGGUUCGAAAUUGAAAGGCGGCUUCGGCUGUCACUUAUGGAUGGACCCGCGUCGCAUUAGCUAGUUGGUGAGGUAACGGCUCACCAAGGCAACGAUGCGUAGCCGACCUGGGAGGGUGAUCGGCCACACUGUGACUGAGACACGGCCCAGACUCCUACGGGAGGCAGCAGUAGGGAAUCUUCCGCAAUGGACGAAAGUCUGACGGAGCAACGCCGCGUGAGUGAUGAAGGCUUUCGAGUCGUAAAACUCUGUUGUUAGGGAAGAACAAGUGCUAGUUGAAUAAGCUGGCACCUUGACGGUACCUAACCAGAAAGCCACGGCUAACUACGUGCCAGCCGCCGCCGUAA
RNAcentral lists this ribosomal RNA (515 nucleotides) under uncultured bacterium. RNAcentral's name for it is "partial 16S ribosomal RNA". It matches the Rfam family "Bacterial small subunit ribosomal RNA", at positions 28 to 523 of the family's 1533-position model. The record is from RNAcentral.